CCUGCUGUGGUAGCUCAGAAUAUGUGCCGUGAAACGGCAUAGGUAGAGCACAUAAAAACGGAGUCUUGGAAAAGGCUCUUGCAGCAAAUAUAUAUGAAACGGUGGUGUCAUGGGUUCGAAUCCCAUCCCGGCAGGA
This 136-nucleotide transfer RNA is filed under the name Lachnospiraceae bacterium. RNAcentral's name for it is "tRNA-OTHER". Lineage: Bacteria; Bacillati; Bacillota; Clostridia; Lachnospirales; Lachnospiraceae. The record is from RNAcentral.